UUUUUGCAAAGAGCUCUUUCAUUCAUCAGAAUCUGAAUGUUAGACGAUAUUACAAAACUCAAUAAGACUGACAGAUCGACAUUUAGGUAUAGGGAUUAAUAACUGGUCCCCACAUUUAAUGUACCAUUUUAAAAAGCUGUCCUCUGACAUUAACUAACCUGGAAAUUAAAUGCGGCUGGAAGCUCAUAUGACCGGCUCACAGUAGGUUUCUCAAAAGAGUGGUUAUUCCUCUUUAAGGCACCCAGUAUAAGGAUCAUUGACUACUGACCCAGUGGCUUCAUGCAAACAAGUGGAGCAGUCUCAACACAUUUCUUAAUGGGCAAGAGAGCUGGCAGCAGAAAGGACAAGUGCUUAGGUCACAAUUAUAGUUGAUUCAUAAUUUCUGCAAGGAGCCCAGGGACAGGGUUGGACCGUCACUCCAAAGGAACCUUAUCUU
This 436-nucleotide long non-coding RNA is filed under the name Bos taurus (domestic cattle). Its description in RNAcentral is "long non-coding RNA NONBTAT012189". Lineage: Eukaryota; Metazoa; Chordata; Mammalia; Artiodactyla; Bovidae. The record is from RNAcentral.